AUUUGUGAGAUGUUUCUCUUUCUCUAUGUUGGCAUGGAUGAUAUAUAGAGUAGUGGAAGAUUGUUAGUGAAACACAUUCAGGUAUGCUAUCUAUCUGAUUCUUUCCAUGUGUGUAGUAACAUAUUCGUUGUUCAAAUCCAGAAAUUGUAACACAUUUUCUAUACUACUAUAUGCAGCCCAAUGAAAUGUAUCGCCUUGAGCUCCAUUAUUUAGGCCAUAUCUCAUGAGAGAUGCUGUGUCAAUUGCAUUGGCAUCCAAUAAGGUAAAAGCUCUGAGUUAUAUUAGGAGGCCUACCCAUCCGUCUGAAGACUGCUCUUAAUAUAUUCUUCUCUUUCUCAUGUUGUAACAUUUAGAU
RNAcentral lists this long non-coding RNA (355 nucleotides) under Triticum aestivum (bread wheat). RNAcentral's name for it is "long non-coding RNA (TAES_LNC013198)". The record is from RNAcentral. Lineage: Eukaryota; Viridiplantae; Streptophyta; Magnoliopsida; Poales; Poaceae.